AGACAAUUAAGAUGACUUUACUUACGGUUCUGGAAAACAGUCUGGGCAGCGUUCAGCUGAGCGUAUAGCCGUUCUCUGUCAAAAACCAAACUGGAAUGACAUUUUUUGGAAUCAGCUCGCUCUGUUAAAAGCUACCAACCAUCUGAAAACACUCCAUGAAUUGGGAUGAAGUCGUGUAAAGUUUUGUGAUCCUCAGGAGAGGAACAAAAAUCUGGAGGAAAGUUCAGCUGCCAAAGUGCAGGAGCAGACACCUCACAAAGGAGGGUGUGAAAUGGCCUGUGAUGCGUGAAAGCGCUUGCCCUCACCGAACAAAGAGAUGUCCGUUGAGACAACAGCAGAAUGCCUUUACCGGAGAUGGACACGAGUCAUCUUAAUGGUCCCGUGUCCUAUCCUGUGCGUGGGAGCGUCACGGCGCAAGACCUCUUUGGAUGGCAAUCCGGCAAGAGCUGAAAUGUAUAGAUUGGGAAACACCAUGAAUGAAGGCGUUCACCGCAGUCUUGGUAGUGCAGGGGGAAGGCCUUUCCCACAUCUCAGCCGUUGGUACCCCGAUCUUGGAAUCCCAGCCUCCAGAGCCGUGCGAAACACACGAUUGUGGUUUGAGCCCGUCCGUGAUGCUGUGCACGGCAGCCCAGGCCCGGCGCAGACCCCAACCCGACGUGAAAUGUCAUGCCAUCCAUAAAUUUCAUUAUUUUGAAACGUACUUGAUAAUAUGAGGACUAUUGUUCUAGAACAUUCACUAUAAUAAAGACAGAUUGACAACCUC
Molecule: long non-coding RNA, 763 nt
Organism: Canis lupus familiaris (dog)
Lineage: Eukaryota; Metazoa; Chordata; Mammalia; Carnivora; Canidae
Exons: 2
Source: RefSeq, a predicted model, not a curated record